GGUUCAAUGGUCUAGUGGUUAUGAUUUCUGUCUCACAAUCUUACGAUGGACACAGAAGGUCUCCAGUUCGAUCCUGGAUUGAACCA
Phlegmacium glaucopus is the source of this 86-nucleotide non-coding RNA. NCBI's taxonomy places the organism in Eukaryota, Fungi, Basidiomycota, Agaricomycetes, Agaricales, Cortinariaceae. The record is from the annotation of a GenBank genome assembly.